This 669-nucleotide ribosomal RNA is filed under the name uncultured bacterium. RNAcentral describes it as "bacterial SSU rRNA". It matches the Rfam family "Bacterial small subunit ribosomal RNA", at positions 98 to 763 of the family's 1533-position model. The record is from RNAcentral.
GCGGACGGGUGAGUAACGCGUAGGAAUCUACCCAGUAGUGGGGGACAACUAGGGGAAACUCAAGCUAAUACCGCAUACGCCCUAUGGGGGAAAGCGGGGGACCUUCGGGCCUCGUGCUAUUGGAUGAGCCUGCGUUGGAUUACCUAGUUGGUGGGGUAAAGGCCCACCAAGGCGACGAUCCAUAGCUGGUCUGAGAGGAUGAUCAGCCACACUGGGACUGAGACACGGCCCAGACUCCUACGGGAGGCAGCAGUGGGGAAUAUUGCGCAAUGGGGGAAACCCUGACGCAGCCAUGCCGCGUGUGUGAAGAAGGCCCUAGGGUUGUAAAGCACUUUCACUUGGAAGGAAAGGUUCGUAGUUAAUAACUGCGAGCUGUGACGUUACCUUGAGAAGAAGCACCGGCUAACUCCGUGCCAGCAGCCGCGGUAAUACGGAGGGUGCGAGCGUUAAUCGGAAUUACUGGGCGUAAAGCGCGCGUAGGCGGUUUGUUAAGUCGGAUGUGAAAGCCCCGGGCUCAACCUGGGAAUUGCACCCGAUACUGGCCGACUGGAGUGCGAGAGAGGGAGGUAGAAUUCCACGUGUAGCGGUGAAAUGCGUAGAUAUGUGGAGGAAUACCGGUGGCGAAGGCGGCCUCCUGGCUCGACACUGACGCUGAGGUGCGAAAGCGUG